UGGUAUCAGCAAAGUGUUAUUUUUUAUGUUUAUGUAAAGUACACGUUUCUGGUACUAAG
RNAcentral lists this microRNA precursor (59 nucleotides) under Drosophila melanogaster (fruit fly). Its description in RNAcentral is "Dme-Mir-992_pre stem-loop". The record is from RNAcentral. Lineage: Eukaryota; Metazoa; Arthropoda; Insecta; Diptera; Drosophilidae.